RNAcentral lists this ribosomal RNA (202 nucleotides) under Hetaerina westfalli. Its description in RNAcentral is "partial large subunit ribosomal RNA". RNAcentral also lists the same sequence under 3 other names. The record is from RNAcentral. Lineage: Eukaryota; Metazoa; Arthropoda; Insecta; Odonata; Calopterygidae.
UGAAGAUUAAUUUACUAAAAAAGUAACAAGAUCUUUUUAGAGAAUUUUCUUUGUCUUUAGUAUUUUAUUGAAAUAGCCAUUUUUGUAAUAGUUUACUAGUACUGUAGAGUAAUGUUGAAAUAUAUUGAAAUAUUUAUUUAUUAAAAAGCAUACUGUUUGUAGUACCUUUUGUAUCAGGGAUGAUUAAUUUUGUUUAAUUUAU